Molecule: ribosomal RNA, 725 nt
Filed under: uncultured bacterium
Lineage: Bacteria
Description: bacterial SSU rRNA
Rfam family: Bacterial small subunit ribosomal RNA
Source: RNAcentral
GGGGGUGAUUAGAGUGGCGCACGGGUGAGUAACACGUGGGUAAUCUGCCCUUAGGCCUGGAAUAACUUGGGGAAACUCGAGCUAAUACCGGAUGAUGCCACACUUUGAGAUAAGUGUGGGAAAAGCGGGGGAUCUCUUCGGAGACCUCGCACCAAAGGAUGAGCCCGCGGCCCAUCAGCUAGUUGGUAAGGUAAAAGCUUACCAAGGCUAAGACGGGUAGCUGGUCUGAGAGGAUGAUCAGUCACACUGGAACUGAGACACGGUCCAGACUCCUACGGGAGGCAGCAGUGGGGAAUAUUGCGCAAUGGGCGAAAGCCUGACGCAGCAACGCCGUGUGAGCGAUGAAGGCCUUCGGGUUGUAAAGCUCUGUCGGGAGUCAAGAUGGUAAUGAUUAUUAAUACUAGUCGUUAUUGACGGUAGCUCCAAAGGAAGCACCGGCUAACUCUGUGCCAGCAGCCGCGGUAAUACAGAGGGUGCAAGCGUUGUUCGGAAUUAUUGGGCGUAAAGCGAGCGUAGGCGGUGACAUGUGUCGGAUGUGAAAUCCCAGGGCUCAACUCUGGACGUGCAUUCGAAACUGUGUCGCUAGAAUCCCGGAGAGGGUGACGGAAUUCCUGGUGUAGAGGUGAAAUUCGUAGAUAUCAGGAGGAACACCUGUGGCGAAGGCGGUUACCUGGACGGUGAUUGACGCUGAGGCUCGAAAGCGUGGGUAGCAAACAGGAUUAGAU